CCUACCAAGGUGAUGAUACGUAGCCGAACUGAGAGGUUGAUCGGCCACAUUGGGACUGAGACACGGCCCAAACUCCUACGGGAGGCAGCGGUAGGGAAUCUUCCACAAUGGACGAAAGUCUGAUGGAGCAACGCCGCGUGAAUGAAGAAGGCCUUCGGGUCGUAAAAUUCUGUUGUCAGAGAAGAAUGUGCGUGAGAGUAACUGUUCACGUAUUGACGGUAUCUGACCAGAAAGCCACGGCUAACUACGUGCCAGCAGCCGCGGUAAUACGUAGGUGGCAAGCGUUGUCCGGAUUUAUUGGGCGUAAAGGGAACGCAGGCGGUCUUUUAAGUCUGAUGUGAAAGCCUUCGGCUUAACCGAAGUAGUGCAUUGGAAACUGGAAGACUUGAGUGCAGAAGAGGAGAGUGGAACUCCAUGUGUAGCGGUGAAAUGCGUAGAUAUAUGGAAGAACACCAGUGGCGAAAGCGGCUCUCUGGUCUGUAACUGACGCUGAGGUUCGAAAGCGUGGGUAGCAAACAGGAUUAGAUACCCUGGUAGUCCACGCCGUAAACGAUGAGUGCUAAGUGUUGGAGGGCUUCCGCCCUUCAGUGCUCCAGCUAACGCAUUAAGCACUCCGCCUGGGGAGUACGGUCGCAAGACUGAAACUCAAAGGAAUUGACGGGGGCCCGCACAAGCGGUGGAGCAUGUGGUUUAAUUCGAAGCAACGCGAAGAACCUUACCAGGUCUUGACAUCUUCUGACAAUUCCAGAGAUGGAACGUUCCCUUCGGGGACAGAAUGACAGGUGGUGCAUGGUUGUCGUCAGCUCGUGUCGCGAGAUGUUGGGUUAAGUCCCGCAACGAGCGCAACCCUUAUUGUCAGUUGCCAUCAUUAAGUUGGGCACUCUGGCGAGACUGCCGGUGACAAACCGGAGGAAGGUGGGGAUGACGUCAAAUCAUCAUGCCCCUUAUGACCUGGGCUACACACGUGCUACAAUGGACGGUACAACGAGUCGCUAACUCGCGAGGGCAAGCUAAUCUCUUAAAGCCGUUCUCAGAUCGGAUUGCAGGCUGCAACUCGCCUGCAUGAAGUCGGAAUCGCUAGUAAUCGCGAAUCAGCAUGUCGCGGUGAAUACGUUCCCGGGCCUUGUACACACCGCCCGUCACACCAUGAGAGUUUGUAACACCCAAAGUCGGUGGGGUAACCUUUUGGAGCCAGCCGCCUAAGGUGGGACAGAUGAUUGGGGUGAAGUCGAAACAAGGUA
Molecule: ribosomal RNA, 1241 nt
Filed under: metagenome
Description: bacterial SSU rRNA
Rfam family: Bacterial small subunit ribosomal RNA
Source: RNAcentral